CCUACGGGAGGCAGCAGUGGGGAAUAUUGGACAAUGGGGGCAACCCUGAUCCAGCCAUGCCGCGUGUGUGAAGAAGGCCCUCGGGUUGUAAAGCACUUUCAGUGAGGAAGAACGCCUGGUGGUUAAUACCCAUCAGGAAAGACAUCACUCACAGAAGAAGCAUCGGCUAACUCCGUGCCAGCAGCCGCGGUAAUACGGAGGGUGCGAGCGUUAAUCGGAAUUACUGGGCGUAAAGCGCGCGUAGGUGGCUUGAUAAGCCGGUUGUGAAAGCCCCGGGCUCAACCUGGGAACGGCAUCCGGAACUGUCAAGCUAGAGUGCAGGAGAGGAAGGUAGAAUUCCCGGUGUAGCGGUGAAAUGCGUAGAGAUCGGGAGGAAUACCAGUGGCGAAGGCGGCCUUCUGGACUGACACUGACACUGAGGUGCGAAAGCGUGGGUAGCAAACAGGAUUAGAUACCCUAGUAGUC
This 465-nucleotide ribosomal RNA is filed under the name Vreelandella stevensii. RNAcentral describes it as "partial 16S ribosomal RNA". It matches the Rfam family "Bacterial small subunit ribosomal RNA", at positions 338 to 795 of the family's 1533-position model. The record is from RNAcentral. Lineage: Bacteria; Pseudomonadati; Pseudomonadota; Gammaproteobacteria; Oceanospirillales; Halomonadaceae.